Molecule: ribosomal RNA, 301 nt
Filed under: uncultured bacterium
Lineage: Bacteria
Description: partial 16S ribosomal RNA
Rfam family: Bacterial small subunit ribosomal RNA
Source: RNAcentral
CAGCCGCCGCGGUAAUACGAGGGGGGCAAGCGUUGUUCGGAAUUAUUGGGCGUAAAGGGUGCGUAGGCGGUUUGAUAAGUCUUGUGUGAAAUCUCUGGGCUCAACCCAGAGUCUGCACAGGAAACUGUCGGGCUUGAGAGUGGGAGAGGUGAGUGGAAUUUCCGGUGUAGCGGUGAAAUGCGUAGAUAUCGGAAGGAACACCUGUGGCGAAAGCGGCUCACUGGACCAUUUCUGACGCUGAUGCACGAAAGCUAGGGGAGCAAACAGGAUUAGAUACCCGAGUAGUCCCUGUCUCUUAUAC